This 297-nucleotide unclassified non-coding RNA is filed under the name plant metagenome. Its description in RNAcentral is "partial contains 5.8S ribosomal RNA, internal transcribed spacer 2, and large subunit ribosomal RNA". The stretch from base 1 to 105 matches the Rfam family "5.8S ribosomal RNA", at positions 50 to 154 of the family's 154-position model. The record is from RNAcentral.
GAAAUGCGAUAAGUAAUGUGAAUUGCAGAAUUCAGUGAAUCAUCGAAUCUUUGAACGCACAUUGCGCCCCCUGGUAUUCCGGGGGGCAUGCCUGUUCGAGCGUCAUUUCACCACUCAAGCCUCGCUUGGUAUUGGGCAACGCGGUCCGCCGCGUGCCUCAAAUCGACCGGCUGGGUCUUCUGUCCCCUAAGCGUUGUGGAAACUAUUCGCUAAAGGGUGCUCGGGAGGCUACGCCGUAAAACAAACCCAUUUCUAAGGUUGACCUCGGAUCAGGUAGGGAUACCCGCUGAACUUAAG